UCCCCGUUGCCGGGGCAGUCUGGCUAGAAAAAUACAACUAACCAUAAGGGUUGCGCUCGUUGCGGGACUUAACCCAACAUCUCACGACACGAGCUGACGACGGCCAUGCAACACCUGUCACUGCGUUCCCGAAGGCACAAUCUCCUUUCGGAGAUCUUCACAGGAUGUCAAGUCCAGGUAAGGUUCUUCGCUUACCCUCGAAUUAAAGAACACGCUCCACCGCUUGUGCGGGUCCCCGUCAAUUCCUUUGAGUUUUAAUCUUGCGACCGUACUCCCCAGGCGGGAUGCUUAACGCGUUAGCUUCGCUACUAGACGGGUCGAUACGUCUAACAGCUAGCAUCCAUAGUUUACGGCGUGGACUAC
This 363-nucleotide unclassified non-coding RNA is filed under the name uncultured bacterium. RNAcentral describes it as "contains 16S-23S intergenic spacer region". The record is from RNAcentral.